UACGGGGGGGGCAAGCGUUGUUCGGAAUUACUGGGCGUAAAGGGUGCGUAGGCGGUUCUCUAAGUCGGAUGUGAAAACUCUGGGCUCAAGCCAGAGCCUGCAUCCGAAACUGGAGGACUAGGGUUCUGGAGGGGAAAGCGGAAUUCCUGGUGUAGCGGUGAAAUGCGUAGAUAUCGUGAGGAAGACCAGUGGCGAAGGCGGGUCUCUGGACAGUUCCUGACACUGAGGCACGAAGGCCAGGGGAGCAAACGGG
Molecule: ribosomal RNA, 253 nt
Filed under: uncultured prokaryote
Description: partial 16S ribosomal RNA
Rfam family: Bacterial small subunit ribosomal RNA
Source: RNAcentral